AGGGUUCGAUUCUGGCUCAGGAUGAACGCUAGCGACAGGCUUAACACAUGCAAGUCGAGGGGCAGCAUAGAAGUAGCAAUACUUGGUGGCGACCGGCGCACGGGUGAGUAACGCGUAUGCAACCUACCUAUCAGAGGGGAAUAACCCGGCGAAAGUCGGACUAAUACCGCAUAAAACAGGGGCACCGCAUGGUGAUAUUUGUUAAAGAAAUUCGCUGAUAGAUGGGCAUGCGUUCCAUUAGGUAGUUGGUGAGGUAACGGCUCACCAAGCCGACGAUGGAUAGGGGAACUGAGAGGUUGGUCCCCCACACUGGUACUGAGACACGGACCAGACUCCUACGGGAGGCAGCAGUGAGGAAUAUUGGUCAAUGGGCGGGAGCCUGAACCAGCCAAAGUCGCGUGAAGGAAGAAGGGUCUAUGGUUCGUAAACUUCUUUUGCAGGGGAAUAAAGUGCAGGACGUGUCCUGUUUUGUAUGUACCCUGAGAAUAAGGAUCGGCUAACUCCGUGCCAGCCGCCGC
Molecule: ribosomal RNA, 518 nt
Filed under: uncultured bacterium
Lineage: Bacteria
Description: bacterial SSU rRNA
Rfam family: Bacterial small subunit ribosomal RNA
Source: RNAcentral